This 301-nucleotide ribosomal RNA is filed under the name uncultured bacterium. Its description in RNAcentral is "partial 16S ribosomal RNA". It matches the Rfam family "Bacterial small subunit ribosomal RNA", at positions 509 to 807 of the family's 1533-position model. The record is from RNAcentral.
CAGCCGCCACGGUAAUACGGAGGGCGCGAGCGUUACCCGGAUUUACUGGGCGUAAAGGGCGUGUAGGCGGCCUGGGGCGUCCCAUGUGAAAGGCCACGGCUCAACCGUGGAGGAGCGUGGGAUACGCUCAGGCUAGAGGGUGGGAGAGGGUGGUGGAAUUCCCGGAGUAGCGGUGAAAUGCGCAGAUACCGGGAGGAACGCCGAUGGCGAAGGCAGCCACCUGGUCCACUUCUGACGCUGAGGCGCGAAAGCGUGGGGAGCAAACCGGAUUAGAUACCCCCGUAGUCCCUGUCUCUUAUAC